AGCGAACGCUGGCGGCAGGCUUAACACAUACAAGUCGAGCGGGCACUUUCGGGUGUCAGCGGCGGACGGGUGAGUAACGCGUGGGAACGUGCCCUCUGGUUCGGAAUAACUCAGGGAAACUUGAGCUAAUACCGGAUACGCCCUUUUGGGGAAAGGCUUGCUGCCGGAGGAUCGGCCCGCGUCUGAUUAGCUAGUUGGUGAGGUAACGGCUCACCAAGGCGACGAUCAGUAGCUGGUCUGAGAGGAUGAUCAGCCACACUGGGACUGAGACACGGCCCAGACUCCUACGGGAGGCAGCAGUGGGGAAUAUUGGACAAUGGGCGCAAGCCUGAUCCAGCCAUGCCGCGUGAGUGAUGAAGGCCUUAGGGUUGUAAAGCUCUUUUAUCCGGGACGAUAAUGACGGUACCGGAGGAAUAAGCCCCGGCUAACUUCGUG
This 435-nucleotide ribosomal RNA is filed under the name uncultured bacterium. RNAcentral describes it as "partial 16S ribosomal RNA". It matches the Rfam family "Bacterial small subunit ribosomal RNA", at positions 29 to 507 of the family's 1533-position model. The record is from RNAcentral.